UACGUAGGGGGCAAGCGUUGUCCGGAUUCACUGGGCGUAAAGGGCGCGCAGGCGGCCGAUUCAGUCCGCCGUGAAAGCCCGCGGCUCAACCGCGGGCGGUCGGCGGGGACGGGUUGGCUUUGAGGCCGGUAGGGGAGCAUGGAAUUCCCGGUGUAGUGGUGAAAUGCGUAGAUAUCGGGAGGAACACCAGUGGCGAAGGCGAUGCUCUGGGCCGUGCCUGACGCUGAGGCGCGAAAGCGUGGGGAGCGAACCGG
RNAcentral lists this ribosomal RNA (254 nucleotides) under uncultured bacterium. RNAcentral's name for it is "partial 16S ribosomal RNA". It matches the Rfam family "Bacterial small subunit ribosomal RNA", at positions 524 to 776 of the family's 1533-position model. The record is from RNAcentral.